RNAcentral lists this ribosomal RNA (253 nucleotides) under uncultured bacterium. Its description in RNAcentral is "partial 16S ribosomal RNA". It matches the Rfam family "Bacterial small subunit ribosomal RNA", at positions 524 to 776 of the family's 1533-position model. The record is from RNAcentral.
UACGUAGGGUCCAAGCGUUAUCCGGAAUCACUGGGCGUAAAGCGUGCGUAGGUGGCGCGUUAAGUGAGAUGUUAAAUCGUGUGGCUCAACCAUAUCGAUGCAUCUCAUACUGGCGUGCUAGAGGACAGCAGAGGCAAGUGGAAUUUGUAGUGUAGCAGUGAAAUGCGUAGAUAUAGGGGAGAACACUCGUGGCGAAGGCGGCCAGCUGUACCAGCCCUGACGCUGAGGCGCGACAGCGUGGGGAGCAAACAGG